This 254-nucleotide ribosomal RNA is filed under the name uncultured bacterium. RNAcentral's name for it is "partial 16S ribosomal RNA". It matches the Rfam family "Bacterial small subunit ribosomal RNA", at positions 1246 to 1500 of the family's 1533-position model. The record is from RNAcentral.
GAAGCAAAGCCGCGAGGUAGAGCAAAUCUCAAAAAAACAUCUCAGUUCAGACUGCAGGCUGCAACUCGCCUGCACGAAGUCGGAAUUGCUAGUAAUCGUAGGUCAGCAUACUACGGUGAAUACGUUCCCGGGCCUUGUACACACCGCCCGUCAAACCAUGAGAGUUGGCAACACCCGAAGUCGGUAGUCUAACCGCAAGGAGGACGCCGCCGAAGGUGGGGUUGAUGAUUAGGGUUAAGUCGUAACAAGGUAUC